AUUAGCGGCGGACGGGUGAGUAACACGUGAGUAACCUGCCUUUACGCAGGGAUAGCCUCGGGAAACCGGGAUUAAAACCUGAUGAAACUAUCAAAUCACAUGAUUAAGAAAGUUAAAACUCCGGUGGUAAAAGAUGGACUCGCGUCCCAUUAGCUAGUUGGUGAAGGUAACGGCCCACCAAGGCAACGAUGGGUAGCCGGCCUGAGAGGGUGAACGGCCACAUUGGAACUGAGAAACGGUCCAAACUCCUACGGGAGGCAGCAGCU
This 266-nucleotide ribosomal RNA is filed under the name uncultured Peptoniphilus sp. RNAcentral describes it as "partial 16S ribosomal RNA". It matches the Rfam family "Bacterial small subunit ribosomal RNA", at positions 91 to 355 of the family's 1533-position model. Lineage: Bacteria; Bacillati; Bacillota; Tissierellia; Tissierellales; Peptoniphilaceae. The record is from RNAcentral.